RNAcentral lists this unclassified non-coding RNA (280 nucleotides) under uncultured fungus. RNAcentral's name for it is "sequence contains ITS1". The stretch from base 1 to 104 matches the Rfam family "5.8S ribosomal RNA", at positions 50 to 154 of the family's 154-position model. Lineage: Eukaryota; Fungi. The record is from RNAcentral.
CAAACGCGAAAUGUGUUAUGACAUGCAAUCUUUGAGAAUCAUGAAAUCUUUGAACGCACCUUGUACCUGAAGCCUCGGCUUUGGGUGUGUUUGUUUGAGCAUCGUCAAGGAACUCGCUCUCUGUGAGAGUGGAUCUGGGUGUCCUAUUAGGUGCCUGAAAUACAUAUUGGAGCGUCACGUGACGCGUCUUGGGAUAAUUCCAUCUAGACGCGCCACGCAACCCUCUCUUUUUCUACUAGUUAUCGAUCUCAAAUCAAACAGGAUCACCCGCUGAACUUAA